Molecule: ribosomal RNA, 450 nt
Filed under: uncultured bacterium
Lineage: Bacteria
Description: partial 16S ribosomal RNA
Rfam family: Bacterial small subunit ribosomal RNA
Source: RNAcentral
GUGGGGAAUUUUGGACAAUGGGCGCAAGCCUGAUCCAGCCAUGCCGCGUGCAGGAUGAAGGCCUUCGGGUUGUAAACUGCUUUUGUACGGAACGAAAAGACUCUGGUUAAUACCUGGGGUCCAUGACGGUACCGUAAGAAUAAGCACCGGCUAACUACGUGCCAGCAGCCGCGGUAAUACGUAGGGUGCGAGUGUUAAUCGGAAUUACUGGGCGUAAAGCGUGCGCAGGCGGUUAUAUAAGACAGAAGUGAAAUCCCCGAGCUGAACCUGGGAACUGCAUUUGUGACUGUAUAGCUAGAGUACGGCAGAGGGGGAUGGAAUUCCGCGUGUAGCAGUGAAAUGCGUAGAUAUGCGGAGGAACACCGAUGGCGAAGGCAAUCCCCUGGGCCUGUACUGACGCUCAUGCACGAAAGCGUGGGGAGCAAACAGGAUUAGAAACCCCGGUAGUCC